CACCACUUUAGUGGCCUUAUCUGCCAAAUC
Molecule: non-coding RNA, 30 nt
Filed under: Mus musculus (house mouse)
Lineage: Eukaryota; Metazoa; Chordata; Mammalia; Rodentia; Muridae
Source: RNAcentral